Mus musculus (house mouse) is the source of this 9461-nucleotide RNA transcript. It is a transcript of the gene named neurexin III, with no coding region annotated. The transcript is spliced from 23 exons. The record is from RefSeq and is marked reviewed. Lineage: Eukaryota; Metazoa; Chordata; Mammalia; Rodentia; Muridae.
GAUACUCACUCACAGAGAGCUCGCUUCAGAGCGCCCCUUCCCUGGUAAUAUCUUCUCAGCUGUUUGUAAAACACCCAGGGAGGAGGUGAAGCCCUAAGCCAGGCAGCCUAGCUGUCUCUUUAAAUGCCGGGGUCUGUGUGGGAGAGGGAGGGGCCAACUCUGGAGUGCGUGAAAUUCCUGGGCUCCUCUGGCAGUCUCUGGCUCAGAGCGCAGCCCUACACAUCUCCUCUUGCAUGCAACUCACUGAGCGAGGGAGAGGCAAAGCAUCCUCCCCUCACGCAGCCACCGGCAGCUCCAGACACACAGGACCUGCUUUUCGCACCUCCAGCAUUUUCCCUUCUUCCCUGCCACUCCCUCCCAGAGAGAGAAAAAAAGAGAAAGAAAAAGGAAAAGGAGUCAGAAAGACUCUGGGAUUUGAAUCUUUCGAAGGAGGAAACACCCAGCAAACUCAGUUGAUUAAACACCAAACUGACAGAUUCCCAACUCUUCGGUUCAACCCAGAGGUCUUUUCUCUGGAGUCCUGGGAGCUCUGUUAUGGGCAGCACUGCCUCUGGCCAGCACCAUGAAGUCUGAAUCUGCUUCCGCUCUGCUCUGGGCCUCACUCCACCUGAGUCCUCAGUUGUUUGCGGUUCCCCUUCCCAGGGUCUGCUGCUAGACCGUCAAACCUCAGCACUGGGCCUUGGCUUGGGCCUGCCUUUUGCCUGGCUCACCUCCCGAUUACUCCUCCUCCAUUACAGCACCCUGAGCCCCAGCCCUGUCCUUGGUCUUCCUGGCUAGGACGCAUUUGCCGGGAGGAAGACAUUACGGAAGGCUUAUUCCCACCCUGGGCUCCUUCUCCUCCUUGAAUCAAGGCCUCCGGAUCCACAUGGAUAGCUGAGAUCUUUUCUUGGAGAAAGAUACUUCUUCCUCGCCUCAUCCCUGAUUUGCCUCACCCGACAAAUCCCCUGUCUGUUUCGUCUCCCUCUUUAUGGGAUUUCUUGCUUGUGUGCCUAUCUAGGGCCGUGUUGUCCUUUUUCCUCUCCUUCCCCUUUCCUCCUAACAUUCCUGUGUGUGUUCUUCUUGUGUCUUCUCUUGUACCACUCUGUUUUCCCUCUUUGCCCUCACAAUCACCUAUCCCCUGCCUCCCGCUCCCACGGCUGAUACCUGGCCUACCUGCUCCUCUGUGCUCUGACCCAGCAGGCACCAUGAGCUUUACCCUCCACUCAGUUUUCUUCACCUUGAAGGUGAGCAUCUUUCUGGGCUCCCUGGUGGGGCUUUGCCUGGGUCUGGAGUUCAUGGGCCUUCCUAACCAGUGGGCCCGCUACCUGCGUUGGGAUGCAAGCACGCGCAGUGACCUGAGCUUCCAGUUCAAGACCAAUGUUUCCACUGGGCUGCUCCUGUAUUUGGAUGAUGGUGGUGUCUGUGACUUCCUCUGUCUCUCCCUGGUGGAUGGCCGCGUUCAGCUCCGCUUUAGCAUGGACUGUGCCGAGACCACUGUGCUAUCCAACAAGCAGGUGAACGACAGCAGUUGGCACUUCCUCAUGGUGAGCCGUGAUCGUGUGCGCACUGGGCUGGUGAUUGAUGGUGAGGGCCAGUCUGGAGAGCUACGGCCCCAGCGGCCUUAUAUGGAUGUGGUCAGUGAUUUGUUCCUCGGUGGCGUCCCCGCUGACAUUCGACCUUCUGCCCUGACCCUCGAUGGAGUACAGAGCAUGCCUGGCUUUAAGGGAUUAAUGCUGGAUCUCAAGUAUGGCAACUCGGAACCUCGGCUUCUGGGGAGCCAGAGCGUCCAGUUAGAAGCAGAGGGACCCUGUGGCGAGCGUCCCUGUGAAAAUGGUGGGAUCUGCUUCCUCUUGGAUGGUCAUCCCACCUGUGACUGUUCUACCACUGGCUAUGGUGGCACACUCUGCUCAGAAGAUGUCAGUCAAGGUCCAGGCCUCUCCCAUCUUAUGAUGAGUGAACAAGCACGAGAGGAGAACGUGGCCACCUUCCGAGGCUCAGAGUAUCUGUGCUAUGACCUGUCCCAGAACCCCAUCCAGAGCAGCAGCGACGAAAUCACCCUUUCCUUUAAGACCUGGCAACGCAAUGGGCUCAUCCUCCACACUGGCAAGUCGGCCGACUAUGUUAACCUGGCUCUGAAGGAUGGUGCGGUCUCCUUGGUCAUUAACCUGGGGUCCGGGGCCUUUGAGGCCAUUGUGGAGCCAGUGAAUGGGAAAUUCAACGACAACGCCUGGCAUGAUGUCAAAGUGACACGCAAUCUUCGGCAGGUGACAAUCUCUGUGGAUGGCAUCCUAACCACAACGGGCUACACUCAAGAGGACUACACCAUGCUGGGCUCAGAUGACUUCUUCUAUGUUGGUGGAAGCCCAAGUACCGCAGACUUGCCAGGUUCACCUGUGAGCAACAACUUCAUGGGCUGCCUUAAAGAGGUUGUUUAUAAGAAUAAUGACAUCCGUCUAGAGCUGUCUCGCUUGGCCCGGAUUGGAGACACCAAGAUGAAAAUCUAUGGUGAAGUUGUGUUCAAGUGUGAGAACGUGGCCACACUGGAUCCCAUCAACUUUGAGACCCCAGAGGCUUACAUCAGCUUGCCCAAGUGGAACACCAAACGUAUGGGCUCCAUUUCCUUUGACUUUCGCACCACUGAGCCCAACGGCCUGAUUCUCUUCACUCACGGGAAGCCUCAAGAAAGGAAAGAUGUCCGGAGCCAAAAGAACACAAAAGUUGACUUCUUUGCUGUGGAACUUCUUGAUGGCAACCUGUAUUUGCUGCUUGACAUGGGCUCUGGCACCAUCAAAGUGAAGGCCACUCAGAAGAAGGCCAAUGAUGGGGAAUGGUACCACGUGGAUAUUCAGCGUGAUGGCAGAUCAGGUACCAUAUCUGUGAACAGCAGGCGCACGCCAUUCACCGCCAGUGGGGAGAGUGAAAUUCUCGACCUGGAGGGGGACAUGUAUCUGGGCGGGCUGCCAGAGAACCGAGCUGGCCUCAUCCUCCCCACGGAGCUCUGGACCGCCAUGCUCAACUACGGUUACGUGGGCUGCAUCCGCGACCUGUUCAUCGAUGGGCGCAGCAAGAACAUCCGGCAGCUGGCGGAGAUGCAGAACGCAGCAGGCGUCAAGUCCUCCUGUUCACGCAUGAGCGCCAAGCAGUGUGACAGCUACCCCUGCAAGAACAACGCGGUGUGCAAGGACGGCUGGAACCGCUUCAUCUGCGACUGCACUGGCACCGGCUACUGGGGGAGAACCUGCGAAAGAGAGGCAUCUAUCCUGAGCUAUGACGGCAGCAUGUACAUGAAGGUCAUCAUGCCCAUGGUGAUGCACACGGAGGCAGAGGAUGUGUCCUUCCGCUUCAUGUCACAGCGAGCCUAUGGGCUACUGGUAGCCACAACCUCCAGGGAUUCUGCAGAUACACUGCGUCUAGAGUUGGAUGGUGGGCGUGUCAAGCUCAUGGUUAACUUAGACUGUAUCAGGAUAAACUGUAACUCCAGCAAAGGACCUGAGACCCUGUAUGCAGGGCAGAAGCUCAAUGACAAUGAGUGGCACACCGUCCGGGUAGUGCGGAGAGGAAAAAGCCUUAAGCUAACAGUGGAUGAUGAUGUGGCUGAGGGGACAAUGGUGGGCGACCACACCCGCCUGGAAUUCCACAAUAUUGAAACUGGUAUCAUGACUGAGAAGCGUUACAUCUCUGUGGUCCCCUCCAGUUUCAUUGGCCAUCUACAGAGCCUCAUGUUCAAUGGCUUACUGUACAUUGAUUUGUGCAAAAAUGGCGACAUCGACUACUGUGAACUGAAGGCUCGCUUUGGACUGAGAAACAUCAUCGCCGACCCUGUCACUUUUAAGACCAAGAGCAGCUACCUGACCCUCGCCACCCUACAGGCUUACACCUCCAUGCACCUCUUCUUCCAGUUCAAGACCACUUCAGCUGAUGGCUUCAUUCUCUUCAAUAGCGGAGAUGGCAAUGAUUUUAUUGCAGUUGAGCUGGUCAAGGGGUACAUACACUAUGUGUUUGAUCUCGGCAAUGGUCCCAAUGUGAUCAAAGGCAACAGUGACCGCCCCCUGAAUGACAACCAGUGGCACAACGUGGUCAUCACCAGGGACAGCAGUAACACCCACAGUCUGAAGGUGGACACCAAGGUAGUCACUCAGGUCAUCAAUGGUGCCAAAAAUCUGGAUUUGAAAGGUGACCUCUAUAUGGCUGGCUUAGCCCAGGGCAUGUACAGCAACCUUCCCAAGCUUGUGGCCUCCAGGGAUGGAUUUCAGGGCUGCCUGGCCUCUGUGGACUUGAAUGGACGCCUGCCUGAUCUCAUCAACGAUGCUCUCCACAGGAGUGGACAGAUCGAGCGAGGCUGUGAAGUUGCGUUGACCAAAGCUGACCUGCAAGGACCCAGUACAACCUGUCAGGAGGAUUCAUGCGCCAACCAGGGAGUUUGCAUGCAGCAGUGGGAAGGUUUCACCUGUGACUGCUCCAUGACAUCAUAUUCUGGAAACCAGUGCAAUGACCCUGGUGCAACAUACAUCUUUGGGAAAAGCGGUGGCCUCAUCCUCUAUACCUGGCCAGCAAAUGACAGACCCAGCACACGCUCUGACCGUCUCGCCGUGGGCUUCAGCACUACUGUGAAGGAUGGUAUCUUAGUACGCAUUGACAGCGCCCCUGGACUUGGCGACUUCCUCCAGCUUCACAUAGAACAAGGGAAAAUUGGAGUUGUCUUCAAUAUUGGCACAGUUGACAUCUCCAUCAAAGAAGAGAGAACUCCUGUCAAUGAUGGCAAAUACCACGUUGUGCGCUUCACCAGGAAUGGGGGAAAUGCUACACUUCAGGUGGACAACUGGCCAGUGAAUGAGCACUAUCCUACAGGCAACACUGAUAAUGAACGCCUCCAAAUGGUAAAACAGAAAAUCCCCUUCAAAUAUAACCGGCCCGUAGAGGAGUGGCUGCAGGAAAAAGGCCGGCAGCUAACCAUCUUCAACACCCAGGCGCAAAUAGCCAUCGGAGGAAAGGACAAAGGACGUCUCUUCCAAGGUCAACUCUCUGGGCUCUAUUAUGAUGGUUUGAAAGUACUGAACAUGGCAGCUGAGAACAACCCUAAUAUUAAAAUCAAUGGAAGUGUCCGGCUAGUGGGAGAAGUCCCAUCAGUCUCAGGAACAACACAGACAACGUCCAUGCCACCUGAAAUGUCUACCACCGUCAUGGAAACCACCACCACCAUGGCUACGACCACCACCCGAAAGAACCGCUCUACAGCCAGCAUUCAGCCCACGUCAGAUGAUCUUGUUUCAUCUGCUGAAUGUUCAAGUGAUGAUGAAGACUUUGUCGAAUGUGAACCAAGUACAGCCAGAAGCUCUAAUGCAGCUAGAUCACUCCGUGCCGCCCUUACAUGGACAUGGCGACUCACUUACACACUUACCCCUCUCAUCUUCAUCUCCUGUGUAGUACACUCAUAGACACACCCCUCCCCUUUCCACACCCCUCCUUUCCCAUACUCCCCCCUUCUUUAGCGUUGUUAAAAUUUAUGUGCUGUCAUCUAUUCCCCUAAAUUAAGGAAAAUCUAAAAUUUGUCAAAAAAAAAGAUAAUAAAAGUAUAAAUAUAUAUUGGAAAAUUACAAUGAAAAAAAAAAUCAUUCCAAACCCCAUAGAUGCAUAGAUUUUUUUAAAGGCAAAUUAUAUUUUUUUUCAUUUUCAGUCAUAGAAAGAAGAAUUAUUUUAAAUUUUAAAAAACCAAUGCCCUCCUAAGUCCCUUCAGAGUAAAAAUUGCUAAAGUGCAGAUUUUUUUCUUUUCAUGUUACGUGGUGUGAGUGUAUGUGUUGUUGCCUCCCCGUAUCAUCCUCUGUUGUAAAUUACUAUAUUUGAAAAAUUAGACAUUUUGCUCAAAAGUUUUUAAGAAAUAAUAACAACAACAACAACAACAACAAUAACAACAACAACAGAAAAAGCAAGUUUCAAGAAUGUGGCAAUUCUAUUUGUCCAAGAGCAUUCUUACACAACUUUCUUUUGUAAAUUUUUUCUUCCAUGCCAAAAAACAUGCGGGCAAUUUGUUGAUGAGGUGAAUUAGUUAUUCCUCUUCUGGUAGAAGACCCUUUAGCUACCCCUCCUAUUGCUACUCGUGUACCCUCCAUUACACUCCCCCCUACCUUCCGCCCCCUCCUCACCAUUAUUGAGACCACCAAAGAUUCCCUGUCCAUGACCUCUGAGGCGGGGUUACCUUGCUUGUCGGACCAAGGCAGCGAUGGUUGUGAUGAUGAUGGCUUGGUGAUAUCUGGGUAUGGCUCAGGGGAAACCUUUGACUCUAACCUGCCCCCUACUGAUGAUGAAGAUUUUUACACCACCUUCUCCUUGGUAACAGAUAAGAGUCUUUCCACUUCAAUCUUCGAAGGUGGCUACAAAGCACAUGCGCCCAAGUGGGAAUCCAAGGACUUUAGACCUAACAAAGUCUCGGAAACUAGUAGAACUACAACCACCUCUUUGUCCCCUGAGCUGAUCCGCUUCACAGCGUCCUCCUCGUCUGGGAUGGUGCCCAAAUUGCCAGCUGGCAAAAUGAAUAACCGUGAUCUCAAACCCCAGCCUGAUAUAGUCUUGCUUCCGUUGCCCACUGCCUAUGAGCUAGACAGCACCAAACUGAAGAGCCCACUAAUUACUUCCCCCAUGUUCCGUAAUGUGCCCACAGCAAACCCCACGGAGCCAGGAAUCAGACGGGUUCCGGGGGCCUCAGAGGUGAUCCGGGAGUCCAGCAGUACAACAGGGAUGGUCGUCGGCAUUGUGGCUGCUGCCGCCCUCUGCAUCUUGAUCCUCCUGUACGCCAUGUACAAGUACAGGAACAGGGACGAGGGGUCCUAUCAAGUGGACGAGACGAGGAACUACAUCAGCAACUCGGCCCAGAGCAACGGCACGCUCAUGAAGGAGAAGCAAGCCAGCUCCAAGAGCGGCCAUAAGAAACAGAAAAACAAGGACAAGGAGUAUUAUGUGUAAACAUAACACCACCAGUCGUAUGCGAACUUAAAACAGAAUUAUUUCUAUACACACACCUGAAUACUUUGACAAUGAGAUUUAACUUGUUGAAUGUGUUCUGUGAGAUGGGGUGUACCACGACUAUGGUGGGAAAAACCAUUUUUUAAAGGACACAUACGAUGGUGUAUCUCUCUGUGUAAUGGUGAGCCAUGCUGCAAGGUUGUAGCCUUGGCCCGAAGACAGAAAAUUCUCUCUGCCCUGCUGUAUCAUAAAGCACACACUUAGUGCCCUGGAGCAAGUCCAUGACUCCACAUGACCUUGGAAGCUUUCUUCUCUCCAGAACAUUUGGAAAGGGGUAGAAGACCAUAUGGCUUACUUGUUCCAUAGCUCCAAGUGAGUCUGUAAUAAUGUUUGUGAAUCUUGACUGUAACAAUGUUGGGUUAUUUUUUGUUUGUUUGUUUGUUUAAUUAUGUAAAAAAAAACAAAAACAAAAAAAUAAGAAAAGAAAAACGCUUAAAAAAAAAAAACACAAACAAAACAAAACAAGAAACCCAGAAAUACCCUUAUCUGGUUCUGACCAGUGUGUGUGUAACUUUCCAAGAUCUGAGGGGAAAAUAGCUUUUGGGUUUUCAUUUAUUUUUUUGACAAAGACUGCACAUAAGAAGAAAAGGAAAAAAAUAUACUCAGAAAAAAAGUAUGAGACUCUUGCCAUAUGAACUCAAAAUCUACCAUGGCAUUCACUCCAUGUAGCAGGUUGUGGUGUCUCUAGAACCAAUUGUUAGUUUCCUAAUGCUUUGGUGAACCCAUGUGGGAUGACAAGCCGUUUGAAAAGCAGGUCCCCAGAUCUAAUUCCAAUAUUUGCCAUUCAAACCUGUAACAGAUGGGUUUGGGGCUGGUGUUAUCGGAGCUAUUGGUUUCACUUAACAAAUACUGUCCCUGUCCAUCAACCCAAAGUGUGUGAACGGGGAAAUGUAACCCCCAAGAAUUAAAGCAGAGCCUUUCUAAGGGAAGGAAAAAAGGGAAAGGGGGUGGACUGGAUCUGUGAAAUGCAUGCAAACAAAGAAAAAAAAAAACCCACAAAAAAGAAAAGACAAUGUUAGCAUCUGUUUCAACAGACUGCAAGGGAGUUCCUAACUUGUAACACAACCACAAGUGGUCACACAAGCCUAGUCAUGGCCAAGUGUGAAAAAUCAUAGUUACUUCCCCACCCCCAACAUAAUAACGGUUUCCAUAUGGUUUAACUUUGUAGCCUGAUGUGAGUAAAUCCUUCCCAUCUCCUCAUGUCUCCUUCCGCCCAUCUUUUUUUUUUAAAGACAAAUAAAUAAAUGAGUAAAGCUGCUGUGACACACACACAAAAGGAAUUUAAUAGUAUAAUAUAUAUAAAUAAAUAUAUAUACAGAUAUAUUUAUCAUGGUAUGUUUGAUGGGAUGACUGACACAGAAAUCUGUUAAAGUCUUGAAGUGGAAUGAGAAUGUUAUUUUAAAAGAAAAAUAACAAAACAACAAAAAAGUAAACCUUAAAAUGUGAAGAAAGUGUGAGUUUUCGUUUUGUCACAGUUAACUGUGUCAAAGAGAAUUUAAACAACAAACAACAGAAACUUCUCAGAUUUUGUUUACAUAUUUUACUACAUUUUUGCUGGUAUAAUCCCUUAGUCGUGUAUGUACCUACCGCUUUGAGAACUGUUAUUUCCUUUCUGUCUGUUUAUUUGGUUUGUGUCCCAUUCUCUUUCUGUCUUCUUUUUGUAAAGAGGAAACAAUGUACAGAGUAAUUAAAAAAAAAAAAACAAACAAACAAACUGGUUUCAUGGCCAUAGCCAUUCAAAAAGCAAGAAGAUAAAGCAAGACACAUACUCUCACAGAGGGCAAUGUGUCAUCUGGAGGGGCAGGCAUAUACAAUUUCUUUUGUACAGAUGAAAACCAAUCAGCUGUUUAGAUUUAGAAAUCUACUCUUGCUGGUCUUUGUAAGUUGCAUGAAUAUUUGACUUUGAAAAAACAAUAUCUUACAGACAUGGGGCAGAAGGCACAGUCUAAAACAGUGGUAGCCUUUACUGAUGUGUAUGGAGAGCGGUGUUCCUCCUUAUCUGAGAUUUCAAUGUUUUAAGAGUUUUCCUUUUUUUUGUUGUUGUUGUCAUUAAAAAAGACAGGACUGUACAAGGAUAUCUAAGCACGAUUUUAGAUAAAUGGCCCAGCCUAUAUGAAGUUGAUUAUAUCUCGAUGUCUGUGACAGAUUGCUGUUCUUGGAGUCGUGAGAUCUUGUGAACUGAUAUUCUCCUUUCUUUCUUUCCACUUUUUUUUAAAAAUCGGAGUAAAUACUCAUUUGUUAUAUUCCUUUUAGUGUAAGUUAAUAUUUGGACAGUUUUACGGGAACUUGUGCAUUCUGUACGAGAGCUUUCAUUGGAUUCCUGUUGUGUUCUUUGCAGACCCUGAAAGAGAUUUUUUUUCAUAAUGUUGCGAUGUUCCUGCUUUUUUCUUUUUCCUUUUCUCUUUGCUUUCCCAUUUGCUUUUUCGUUCAUGGAUAUGCUUAGCAAUAAAAUGUUCUUCCCAAAA